Molecule: long non-coding RNA, 5754 nt
Organism: Centrocercus urophasianus (Greater sage-grouse)
Lineage: Eukaryota; Metazoa; Chordata; Aves; Galliformes; Phasianidae
Exons: 3
Source: RefSeq, a predicted model, not a curated record
UCCACUCCCACAUCUCUAAUAAAAAUGUUAUAUGAGUCUAUAUCCAGCAAAGAUCCUUGUAUCAUGCUUUUUGAAACCUCCUACACUGUAAUCUUUCAUGACAUUUCAGAAAAAGGCUGCAUGCUUCUCUUUACUGCAGAUGGAAAACCAGUCUGGAGAUACAUCAGUUGCAACAUUGGCAUGGUGCCCCAGCACAUGAAAGCUAUAGUAUUGUGGAUUAUCGGAGUUUUGCCUGGAAUAAGAUGGAUGCAGAAAUACUCUGUUUAACAAAGGCCCUGCUUUGUCUUUGCCCAGACUUCUCUCUCUUGCUCUUUGAAGCCUUGGUUGGGUAUAUUGUGUCACAGGGCAGCAUAAAGAGCAGCUAAUUUCUAAGAGGGCUCACAGGCUGCAAAACAGUUUGUUCUUCAGAAACAAUAUGCAUCAAACAGAAAAUACAUCUGAUGUCAUUGUGAAAAGGUUAGCAAUUAGGUGCCGAGGUGUUGGUUGGCAGUAAGAAACAGUGGAUAAAAUGGAUUCUAGCAGGAAUGGGAAUGAAAAAGAAGCCGUGAUUGAAGAAGGCCCCCAAAUAGGUAAGAUAUUAAAGAAUAUUAAAGCUAAUACGGUACAUUAUAGAGCAACUGAAGAAAAAGGAGAUGGAUUGUGAAAAUUAGACCUAGAUGAGAAGAAAAGUAAUGAAAAAACUGCUAAAUUAGAAUUGAUUGACAACAGCCUGUUAAGUAAUAUCGAAAAAAGUUAACUGAAAUGGGGAAAUAGUCCAGCAGCUGGAUUCUAGUUUAGCAUGAAUUACCCAUGGGAAACCAUUUGGAUGAGAAGAAGGCAUCACCUGAGGCUACUCUGGCUCUGUCCAUGGGGAGAAGGUGGCAGCUUCAGCUGCUAAAGCUCAGAAUGGAAAAAGUCCCCAGCCUGCUGCUCUCUUAUUAUAUUUCAGGAGCACCUGGACUUGCUAGAAGACCCUGCAACACAUCAAAAGAUGAAAAGGAGACUCAUCACAGCUACCUGCCUCUGAGAGACCAGAUUUACGCCUUGCAUCUUUAUGCUUUAUACUGAUGUCACAAGCAAUUCAAAGGGGCUAAAGUGGCCAUCUGCCUGUAAGCACCUGACAAUAUGCUGUUGUAAAGAGCAGAGAACAAAAAGAAACAUUCUAGACUCCAUCAAAGCAGUAGAGUAGGGUAGUGCAGAGCCUUCUCCAGGCUGGGACUGCAUUGCUGGCUUCUAGCAAAAGCUCCGACCUACAAGAGCAGCACAAGCAUAAGAACAUAAGCAGUUAAACUUGGGUUUUGAUUUACUUUGAUUGCUUGGGUUUCUUACAGGUGAGUUUUAACCUUAAUUGACUCUUCGAUCUGGUUCAAGACCUAACAUAGGCAUACGUGCUGACAGUGGAACAGGGAGAGGGCAUGGAGUGGGAAUGAGCAGCCCAGAGAGGCACGACUUUCACUGACUUUCCUCGUUCCAACUACAUGGGAAAUCUUGGCCUCAGAAGCAGCUGGCAUCUGGGAGCACUGUGCAGAGAGGCUGCAAGAAAUCAUUCCUGUUCUUAUAUUGCUGCAUAGAGCCAGAGCACAUUCUGCCACAUGCACGUAUCAGAGCAUUAUAAAUAAUGCAUUCUUUGAAUCUUGUUACCAAAACAAACAUGCCAUUGUUAAGACACCCUGCCAGCAUCUGUGUGUUGUUACUACUAAAAAUAUUCCUUGGACCUUAAAGUUUCAUCUGUCAGCCUUACAAAGCAAAAGGUAAAGAUAUCAGACAACUAGUUAGGAACAAACUUCAGUGGAAACUUCAGGACAAAACACACUUAAGCAAUUUAUUUGUUCAAAUUUUCCUUUUCUUGUAUUUCAGUUUGUUUCGCUAUUAGCCCACUGGCUGGUAAUAACUUCCCAUGUGCUCAUUGGAAGAUGGAUGUGUUUUAUUUCACUGUUUAAGUCCCAGAAAUCUUCCCUAUUUCAACCACAUAUGAAGAUAAAAUAUAUUGGUUGGUGAAGUAUGAAUAGGUUGUAGGGAAGGCACAAUCUGCCUGGAUGAGACAUUUACUCUUUUCAUAACGGGAUAGAUCCAGAACCUUCCAAGUUUCCACAGGUGCUUAGCUUGUAAUGAAGACAGAUAUUUCAAUUUCUCCAAGUUUUAAGGAAGGAAAAAUAGAAGUAUUAUAGUUAAAGGUCCUUUCUGGCAUUUGUGUAUUAGUUUUAGACAAAAUCCUUAAGUCUUUUCUUAGAGCUAAAUCAUCAUAAAUGGAUAUGCUCUCUGAGGAAAAAAACUAAAAAGCCUAUUUAAAUAGAACAGAGGCCACAGAGGACACAGGGAGGAAAGACAAGGAGUAAAGGAAGGAGACUUGUCAUUCUUAUCCCCUUGAAGGCACUACAUGGAGUGAUGCCUUGGGGCAGCCCCCCACAAAAACUCUGCAUGUUGGCAUCUAUUUCCAUGCGAGGAACUAGGGGAGCCACAGAGGAGUCCCCCCUUUCUCACUGCCAUAUCUACACCUGUACAAAAUCUCAUUCUUUGGUGUGCAUAAGUAACAGCAAUUUAAACAUGGCCUUAUGCUACUUUCUGGGUUUAUUUUCCCAGAGCACUCAUAGCUGCUUUGCUGCUGCUUAUUUGUACUGUGGCAGUGCCUCUUUUCCUAAGGUAUUCAUAUGGUCUUUGUCAUUGCUCUGCUCAAGUUUCUCCCAGUCUCAGAUGUGUUUAUUCACACAACAGUGCUACGAGAGCACUGCUAUUACCCCCAUCUUGGAGCAAAGAACCCAGGACAUGGGGCUAUCAGGGUUUAGACAAAGGCAAGCAAACAUCUGACUUUCACUGAUAGCAGUGACUUAGAUAUCUAAAUGGAACUAAAAUGUCCAUACCUAAAGAGCCAUUUCUGCUUCAUGGGAGACAGUGGGGCAAGAAUUCAACCCAGCUCUCACUGCCUUAUGCUACUCUACCAUCUCAGGGACACUUUAUGUGGUGAAACUGCAUACUAACAAAGAUGCUACUCAUCCUGAAGUAUAAAUAUUGUGGUCCAUUAUUGCUAUGUAAGUGAUUUUUCAGAGAUGAAAGUGGAUUAACUCUAAGGUAAUGUGGAAGAAAAGUAAUCGUGGAGUUAAAAGUUAAUAUCUCUUCUCACUGCCUCAGAAAUAUGUUUCUAAGGUUCCGCCUCCUAGAGGCACACUCUUCCCCAGGUGUGUUCCCAGUUGGAAAGUCACACCUGAGUAGAGGAGUUCUCCUGCUGUGAUGGGGGUUUUCCAGCUCAGGAUGGUCUGUGGUACUGAAUUUUUCCUGCCUAAUGAUUGCAGCAUUUGGUCUUUUAAUUGGUUGCUGUAUAUUAAUUGGAUCUGAACAGCUAAGGUAUUUAUUUUGUAAAGCAGUUCUGAAUGAUGAAUCACCUACAAUUUUUCAUAAGGAGCUUCACUAUACAGUCUGAAAGGGAAUGCAGAUUUAUACAAUAAAUACAACUGCUCCAAAAGGGAUCAGAUUUAUCUUAGCAACUGGCAGUCUCUCUAGGAUUCAUCCCCAGCCCCAGUCUAUCUGUCAGCAUAUCUUUCUUCAAAGUCCAAAAUGCAACAAAGCUUACUCUUUUGUAAAUUAUAAAAGUUUUUUUCUGAGACAUGAGGAAUUCCUUCAAGUGAGAGGUUUUAUCUCUUAAUGGAUCACAUUAACAACGCUAGUAUUAAUAAUAUAACUUUUCUCUCAAUCAGGAUUGUAUCCAAAUUAUUAGACGUGUCCUUGAGCAUAAAUGAGCAAGGGCAAUUCAGAGUGGUAAGUUUAGCACUAGAACCGAAUAAAUAAAUAAAGAAAAAUCUUACCAAAAACCGGCUGAAUCUCAACAAUUGCCGAGCCAGCAGGAUGACUGAAAUCGUCGCGAGUUCACCCUUUAUGGCCCAGGAAAAAUACAUUGUUAAGCAAUUUUGUUGUUUCUACCAGCAGACCUUGAAGUGGAAAUUAACGAGUGGUGGUAUUCUCUCACACCCAAUCCCCUGUACAUUUGCAUUCAUUUGCAUUUGAAUGCCCAGCUAAUUGUUUUGAAGUAACAAUUAAGAGAACAAUAGAGGAAAGAAAAGGGACUCCAGGCAGCAACUGACACCUGGGAGUCUGUAUUAAGAAAAGCUUUUACAUAUUUGAAUUAAAAAUAGACAAUGGAACAGAAACAGGCAGGCAUAAAAUUCAUUACAGAGAGAAAGUAGCACACCACAUCCGUGCGCGCUAUCACGCUACGGAAUAUGCUUCCCAUUCGUGCAGUCAAGAGACUUACAAUGUACUGGAUGGUAAAGGAGGUUUCUCCUUUCUGUGUGUGUUUUAGAAAAAGGUUGCUUUCUCACAUUCCCUGAGUGCCUAAACUAAAGAGUUGGAGUUCAGAAGGAACGGAGGAUUUUGCCAAUUUGGCCUAAGUUUCAAAGUGGAUUAGCUUUCCCAGAAAAGUUCUGGUAUGCACGGAUGCAGCAGUGCCUCGCAACAUUUUGGUUCUGGUUAGAAUUGCAUCUAUCAGAAUAUGGUAAUAGAGGUACUGAUUUCUGUUAUAAAAAAACAUAGGUGCCAUCUGUAAUAUCUAUUCUGGCUGCGUAUGCAGUAGGAAUCCAGUUAUCAGACUGCUCAUGCAAUGUAUUUUGUUAGACUUUCUCCUCCCUUUCGCUAAUGAUGAUGUAAUUCUUUUUAUCAGGAGCAAUUGCUGUUAACUACAUGACUGGCAAAAGCUCCAGCUCUGCUGUCCCCUCCCGCGAGAAGAAGCCUGGAGUUGGAAAGUAGGCUGAAAAAAAGAGCAGGGAGCAGUUUCACUUCUGAAUAGUAACCUCUACUACUAAAGCAAUUCAUUGACUCAAAAUUAGUCAGCGCUGUGGGUUUGGUGGAGAAAAAGAAAUCUAGGUGAUCAGUAUAGGGGCAGCUUCCACAAAGCAGUGCAGUGUCACCUCAACCUCCUUCAAAAGCAUUUGCUUUCAUGGAGUUCAGAGAAGGCAAAUUGUAUACUGUGUGCAAUAUGGGAAUAUUUAUUUAUUUAUUUAUUUAUUCAUUCAUUCAUUCAUUUUAAGGAAAAAAAAGGUUCACUGAGAAAAUACAGAAUUGUGACCUAUUCCUGAUCUAGGAGGGACCAUAAUCUGCAGUGAAUGCCUGGGAGAUACUUCUAGUACAAAGAUGAAAAGUGUAAUAUGACCAUAAAUUGCAUUUCCUGAAACGCAAAAUUACUAGCCCUGGGAUAGUUAUGAACUAGUUCACAUGGUGCCAAUAAUAGCAUUGAGGUUCUCUGCUGCUCAUGGUGGCAAAAUACCCCAGUAUGCACCUUGCCUGUUUAAGGUAAAGGUCUUAUUAUCUGGAGUAAUCAAAACUUAUUCUCUUGCAAUUAACUUAUUUUAAAUGGAAGGCACAUAAAAUACAGGAGCAGAUUAUCUCCAUUUUUAUUGCCCUUCCCUGGCUAUCUGUAACUUCUAUUUUGAUAAACGUGAUCAGGAUGUAAGCAAAUUAUAUAAUAACAGUUAAGGCAUGUGAAUAUAGAGUAUUAUAUUUGAAGACAGUCCUAAUCAUGAGAUGAAAUACUCAUAACAUAUUCUUCAAUAUUGUCGUGUUCAAGUUGUCUGAAUUUCUGGAAAAAAAGAAAAAAAAAAAAACAACACAAAUGUAGUAUACAUAUAUAUAUGACUACAAUGGCCUUUCUCUUACUUCAUCACAAAGAUAAGUAAGAUAGAUCCAUAUGGAUAAAACUUUCACUUGACUGAAGUGGAUGAAGACUUGAAAAAAUAGUAUAAUCCAUCUUUACAUUAUUUGCUGAAAUGCUGUAUAGUAAGGCACUUCUUU